CCUCAAGAUGAGAUGUCCCAUUCGAAAGAAGUAAACCCCCUUGAAGACGACGAGGUAGAUAGGGCAGGGGUGGAAGUGUGGUAACACACGGAGCUGACUGUUACUAAUAGGGUGAGGGCUUGACCAA
RNAcentral lists this ribosomal RNA (127 nucleotides) under Blautia faecis. Its description in RNAcentral is "partial 23S ribosomal RNA". It matches the Rfam family "Bacterial large subunit ribosomal RNA", at positions 2797 to 2925 of the family's 2925-position model. RNAcentral also lists the same sequence under 1 other name. The record is from RNAcentral. Lineage: Bacteria; Bacillati; Bacillota; Clostridia; Lachnospirales; Lachnospiraceae.